ACAUUGUCAAUGCUGACAACCGGACGAGGCGCGCCGUACCCGGCCAGCGACAAGACGGCGCUCG
RNAcentral lists this non-coding RNA (64 nucleotides) under Gordonia sputi. The record is from RNAcentral. Lineage: Bacteria; Bacillati; Actinomycetota; Actinomycetes; Mycobacteriales; Gordoniaceae.